GAGGGUAUAGCUCAAGUGGUAGAGCACAUGCUUAGCAUGCAUGAGGUUCUGGGUUCAAUCCCCAAUAACUCCU
Molecule: transfer RNA, 73 nt
Filed under: Camelus bactrianus (Bactrian camel)
Lineage: Eukaryota; Metazoa; Chordata; Mammalia; Artiodactyla; Camelidae
Also listed under: 2 other names
Rfam family: tRNA
About the family: Transfer RNA (tRNA) molecules are approximately 80 nucleotides in length. Their secondary structure includes four short double-helical elements and three loops (D, anti-codon, and T loops).
Source: Rfam by way of RNAcentral